CGAGGAAACAGCAAGCACGCAGAUACAAGUUUGAUGUCAUGGUCACGCUGGGGGGGCAUGACUCUACGUCUUAUCUGUCUCCACAAAGCUUGUGCUGCAUCGCUCUGCACUGGCCUGCGGUGACGUGUGUGUGCGUGUUACCCUGUGAUAACCCCAGAGCUUAAAGACAUGCAGGGAUUCCUCAGAACACAAGUGCCUCGGAUCUCAAGAGAAACACACCGAGCGGCUGGAGUUGCGAUCAGGUGAUGCUUGAAUUUUUCCAUUCCUUACGCAAGUGUCUCUAAUUACACCACACACAGAUGCUUUUAUUGUGUCACCACUGUUAACUCUUAGGAUAAGCUAUAUAAAGUAGCAGUGACAGUAGAGUGAGUAGCAAGUAUUACAGGGUCGUUCUGUUUUUUUUUUUCUGUUUUUUUUGUGCGACAACUAAACAAAGUAACAGCUCAGAUCUGGGGACGUUGCCACGGUUUUGCCUUCAGCUUUGUUUUCUCUCCUUGGCUCCAACUGUUCAGAGAAUAGUGUUCAUAUAUUACUAUUACGACUUAAGCAUGAAGCUAAAAUGUGAAUUUGAAAAGUGUGGGACGUCAAUUGGAUAUUGUAACAUUUUUAUUAUUCAGUUAUCGUUUUACUAACACCAAGAAACUUUAUUUAUGAAUUUAUUUGUAUUAUUUGUUUGUGCAGUUAACACAAUUCUAUUUAUCUCAUUCCAUACAUCUGUAAAUAUAUAAAAAUAUGUUUUUGAAAAUGUAGUUUUAUAAUUUUAUAGCAGCUUAACUUAAAUCAUUAAGAACUAACUACAAUAAUCAGUAAUAGACAUCUACUUUGGAUUCGGAUUCAAAAAGAUCAGAUUAUUAAAUAUCACGUCUUCACACAAACACAGGAAUGAUUACAGUUCAUUUUAAAACAAUUUCUCUCAAUUUGUCGCAAAGUAAAGAUUAAAAAAAAAUUCAAAAACUGAAUUGGCGUGCUUUGCUUGUGUAAAUGACGUAGAAACUACAGAAUUAAAACAAAUAGCUGAAUCAUAAUUAUCAAUUCAACCCUUUAAAAGCAAGUGUUGCUGGCGGCAUGUUUGUGCACUUUGGAUUACUGCAAUUACAUAAUUACAUGCGCUAUCGGAAAACUUCCAGAAGAUUUCAAAAGCUGACACUUUGUGCAAACUACCUCACUGCCUACAUUUUAGUAAAUGUAAAGGAAUUAUAUUAUAUGACCAUUUUUUAGCCAUUAUAAUUCCCAUUCCUGACUGUGUUUACAGAAUUUCCUUAUAUUUCUAUUUUCCAUAUAUUUUCCAGAUUGCUAUUAUUUUUUGUAUAUGUUGUAUGUUCUUUCAAAUUAGAUUUUUCAAAAUGUGUUUCAUGUAUAUAUUCUUGGCAAUUUUGUGACAAGGAAAUUUCCCAUUCUUGGGACAAAUAAAAAAUGUCUUAUUACAGUAAAUUGACUUGUACCUCUACUAUCACAUGUAGCAGAUUGUAAAUAACUGCCAGAUAUUGUUUGUAACAUUUGUGACAAAAAAUAAAAUAAAAAUAGGUCUGUUAACUUUACUAGAAAGUGCAAUUUGAAUUUCUCAUUAAUUUUUUAAUUUUUUAAUUUAUUUUGUUUUUAACAUUGAUAGACCGUGUAAAACUGGAGAUAUAAUAUAAUGCCAAAAUCAAAAGUAUUCAAAACACGACCAAAAAAGGUUAGAGACCCCUAUGGAUUAAAGAGUUAAUUGAACGGUUUAUUGAUGCUCUCAUCAUAGCCACAUAAAUUGAGAUGCUUGUUGUCAGUGUGGAUGUAUCACAGAGACAUGUAUAGCUGUAUACAUUUUGCCGUAAAGUGCACAACAAGACUUACGACGCCUUUAAAUGAACCCGCCAGAUUAGAGCUCCGUCCCAUCAUCCCUGCCCUGUGACUGCCUCUCCUCCCCACUCCUCCUUUCCUUUCCGUCCUCCCCCUUUCCUCUUCCUCUUUAGAGGUGUCAGAAGAAAAACAGCUACAGUACCAGUCUCUCUCUCUCUCUCUGUCUCUUCCACAACCACACAACGUGGGCUAUGUGAAGGCAGUGACUCUGCUGCUGCUGGCUGGCCCACUCACAGGAUAUAAGAGCUGUGAGCCCUGCCAAGGCGGUGAGGGGUCACACUGUGGGGAAUGUGUGCGUAAUAAGAUGCAAUGUGUGUGUUUGAGGAUGGCUUUGCCACACAUUAGCUCCCCAGCUGGCUAGUGGCCGUCCAAGCGGAGGACGCCCUUGUCCUCCUGACGCCGACGCGGUGCGGAUAAGGCUUCUUGUGAGACAUUCCACCCUCCCUAGCACUCUGACCGGCGCUUCCUGCUCUCGCUUCCCCGUCCGUCCCUUCCUCUUCGCCUGUGCACGUGCCAAUGUUACCCUCUGGCGUUUCCCGCCGUCCCAUCUAACGCUGUUCCACACCCCUGGGCUGGUCCCCCUGGCUCACUCACAGCGCCCAACGCCCACCUACGCCCCAGACUGGUGGACUCCCUCUGGACUUCCUGGAGAACCACCUUCCAUUAUCAGAACAACCGGCCCAGCCCAGAAACCCCGCUGCUGAGCUCACUGAGUCACUGUGGCCCCCCAAGUGUGACGUCUAACCUUGAUGACAGACUUAUGAACCAAAAUAACUCCAGAUUAACAAUCUACACAGAGUGCACCAUUGGCGAAUCCUCCCUAUCUCAUGACUGAUGCGGCAUGCAUAUGCAUGUGCCAAGUGUGGAAUGCGAGCAUGUCACUGACAGAAGACCAAAUGGACAUGAAGCGCCGAGCUCUGUUUUCUCGGCUCCGUCUCCUCUCGGAGAGCAGACAAGAGUGAGAAACAGCAAGUGGUUCCAGCAGAUGGGGCUGGGUCUGAUACUGCCAUCUGUCUCAGAAGUACAAGAAAAUGAGUAACGGGGCAGCGGCUGUGCUACACGGAACAUGCUCUAUAUAUGUGGAGAUGCAAGCUUACAGGACGAGAAGAGUUAGGAAAUAUAAAAUGAAAGAAGCUGCAAGAACACUCCUGCAAACCUCCUGCGCUUCCCAACCAUGUCUGCAGCAGCCAUCGACCCACCGAGGAGUCCUUUCUCCCCCAGCAUCUCCGUCCCCUCUGAGACUGUCUCCGCUAACUUCUCCUUCCUCAUAAUAAACUUAUCAGUUUCCUCCGA
Mugil cephalus (flathead mullet) is the source of this 3129-nucleotide long non-coding RNA. RefSeq lists it as uncharacterized. The record is from RefSeq and is a predicted model, not a curated record. The transcript has 2 exons. NCBI's taxonomy places the organism in Eukaryota, Metazoa, Chordata, Actinopteri, Mugiliformes, Mugilidae.